Molecule: ribosomal RNA, 782 nt
Filed under: Entoloma nitidum
Lineage: Eukaryota; Fungi; Basidiomycota; Agaricomycetes; Agaricales; Entolomataceae
Description: eukaryotic LSU rRNA
Rfam family: 5.8S ribosomal RNA (bases 280-433)
Source: RNAcentral
GUCGUAACAAGGUUUCCGUAGGUGAACCUGCGGAAGGAUCAUUAUUGAAUAAACUUAGUUGGGUUGUUGCUGGUUCUUAGGGACAUGUGCACACCUGGCAAAUGUUUUUAACCACCUGUGCACCUUUUGUAGAUCUGAAAUACUUCUUGAGGAAACUCAGUUUGAGGAUUGCUGUGUGAAAACCAGCUUUCCUUGCAUUUCAGGUCUAUGUUUUAUAUAUACUCCAAAAGCAAGUAAUAGAAUGUUAUUAUAUUGGCCUUUGAGCCUUUAAACAAAUACAACUUUCAACAACGGAUCUCUUGGCUCUCGCAUCGAUGAAGAACGCAGCGAAAUGCGAUAAGUAAUGUGAAUUGCAGAAUUCAGUGAAUCAUCGAAUCUUUGAACGCACCUUGCGCUCCUUGGUAUUCCGAGGAGCAUGCCUGUUUGAGUGUCAUGAAAUUCUCAACCUUUCUGGUUUUUAUUAACUAGUUUGGCUUGGAUUGUGGGAGUUGCUGGCUUCUAAGAAGUCAGCUCUUCUUAAAUGCAUUAGCAAAAUCUUUGCUGACCAUCCUUUGGUGUGAUAAUUAUCUACGUCAUUGAGAAUCAGCUUUUGUAGAUUUAGCUUCUAAUCGUCUUUCUUGAGACAACUUAUGACAAUUUGACCUCAAAUCAGGUAGGACUACCCGCUGAACUUAAGCAUAUCAAUAAGCGGAGGAAAAGAACUACAGGAUCCCCCUAGUAACUGCGAGUGAAGCGGGAAAAGCUCAAUUUAAAUCUGGUAGUCUUGGCUGCCCGAGUUGUAU